UCCGAAGAAGACAUUGUGGAGUUGCUUUCUGCAGGAGAUGGCUUGGUGACAGGAGUGCUGCUCGGCGCUCGAGUUGGACUGCGACGGCCACUGGAGUGAGUGGAGUCUUGCUUGGCGACUGGACUGCUGCUCGGUGACAGGACUGCUUCUCGGUGAAUGGAUUGCUCCUCGGCGACGGCGACCCAGCGAGGCAGCGACGGCGACCCAGCG
This 210-nucleotide long non-coding RNA is filed under the name Arachis ipaensis. Its description in RNAcentral is "long non-coding RNA (AIPA_LNC000565)". Lineage: Eukaryota; Viridiplantae; Streptophyta; Magnoliopsida; Fabales; Fabaceae. The record is from RNAcentral.